AGGGUAACGGCCCACCAAGGCGACGAUCAGUAGCCGGUCUGAGAGGAUGAACGGCCACACUGGAACUGAGACACGGUCCAGACUCCUACGGGAGGCAGCAUG
Molecule: ribosomal RNA, 102 nt
Filed under: uncultured bacterium
Lineage: Bacteria
Description: partial 16S ribosomal RNA
Rfam family: Bacterial small subunit ribosomal RNA
Source: RNAcentral